UAUUCUCAACCUUCCUCACUUUUGUGACUGGAAGGCUUGGAUGUGGAGGUCGUGCGGGCUCUCGCGAGUCGGCUCCUCUGAAAUGCAUUAGCGUGAACGUUUACGGAUCGCUAUCAGUGUGAUAAUUAUCUGCGCUGUUAGUGUUGAAGUAUUGCUUAGUGUCGCGCUUCUAACCGUCCUUCAGUUGGACAACUUAUCUGAC
This 202-nucleotide unclassified non-coding RNA is filed under the name uncultured fungus. RNAcentral's name for it is "sequence contains ITS2". Lineage: Eukaryota; Fungi. The record is from RNAcentral.